UGCCGCUUGCGAGGGCGUAUGGUGGAUGCCUUGGCAGACAGUACCGAUGAAGGACGUUUGAGGAUGCGAUAAUCCUAGGGGAGCCUCCAACAUGGCUUUGAUCCUAGGGUCUCCGAAUGGGGGAACCCGCCGGCCGUCAUGGGCCGGCACCGCCUAUGGGCGGGGGGUACGCAGGGAAGUGAAACAUCUCAGUACCUGCAGGAAGGGAUACUCCGUGAGUAGUGGCGAGCGAAAGCGGAUCAGACCAAACCGGUUGCGCGUGAUACCCGUCGGGGGUUGCGUUGCCGGUGUUGUGGGAUCACGUGUCCCGGUUCCGACGGGCCGGGCGGGAGUCAUAAAACGGCUUGCCAGGGGAACAGGCUUGAAGGCCUGGCCGUAGAGGGUGCCAGCCCCGUACCUGGACGUGAGCCGUCUUCCGAUCGUGUUGUCCCAAGUAGCGCGGGCCUCGUGGAAUCCCGCGUGAAUCAGCCCAGACCGUUGGGUAAGUCUAAGCAUACCUGUCUGACCGAUAGCGUACCAGUACCGUGAGGGAAAGGUGAAAAGCACCCCGGGAGGGGAGUGAAACAGUUCCUGAAACCGUGCGCCCACAAACCGUCGGAGCCUCUGUGUGGGGUGACGGCGUGCCUAUCGAAAAAUGAGUCUGCGAGUCAGUGGCGGGUGGCGAGCAUAAGCCGUGUGGCGUAUGCGUAGCGAAAGCGAGUCUUAAAAGGCGUUUGUAGUCGCUUGUCCUGGACCCGAAGCGGGAUGAUCUAGCCCUGGGCAGGUUGAAGCGCGGGUAAGACCGCGUGGAGGACCGAACCCACCUGGGUUGAAAACCGGGGGGAUGACCUGGGGCUAGGGGUGAAAGGCCAAUCAAAUUCCGUGAUAGCUGGUUCUCUCCGAAAUGCAUUUAGGUGCAGCGUCGGUCGAUUGCGUCGCGGGGGUAGAGCUACCGGAUGCUUGCGGGCCCUUGUUGGGUACCAACAGCAGCCGAACUCCGAAUACCGUUGACGUGUAUUCCGGCAGUGAGUCGGCGGGGGAUAAGCUCCGUCGUCGAGAGGGAGACAGCCCAGACCGUCGUCUAAGGUCCCGAAGCGUGUGCUAAGUGGGAAAGGAUGUGGAGUCGCAUAGACAGCCAGGAGGUUGGCUCAGAAGCAGCCAUCCUUGAAAGAGUGCGUAACAGCUCACUGGUCUAGUGGUUCCGCGCCGACAAUGUAGCGGGGCUCAAGCACACCACCGAAGACGCGGCAGCAAUCUUCAUGGUUGCUGGGUAGGAGAGCGUCCUGCGAGGGGCGAAGCGGCCGGGUAACCGUGCCGUGGACUUCGUGGGAGUGAGAAUGCAGACAUGAGUAGCGAGAGACGGGUGAGGAUCCCGUCCGCUGGAUGACCAAGGGUUCCGGGGCCACGUUCGUCGUCCCCGGGUGAGUCGGGUCCUAAGGCGAGGCCGACAGGCGUAGUCGAAUGGAUGAACGGGUGGAUAUUCCCGUACCGACCAUGGACCGGCAAAACCGAGACGGUGAGUACUAACCUCCGCCUCGUGGUGGUUCCUUCCUUCGGGUUGGUUCCGCCGCGUGGUGUUGGGACUGUAGCCGUAGUAGGUCAGCGCAGGGGUGACACGGAAUGGGAGCCGGCCGCGGAGGUGGUUUUCCGUGGUCAAGCACGCAGCCAGUCAUGUAGGCAAAUCCGCAUGGCGCGCAUGGCGAGGUGUGAUGAUGGGAGCCUUUUGGCUCGAUAUCCGGUUGUCCAGGCCGUCGAGAAAAGCCUCGGCGUGAGGGCCAUGGCCGCCCGUACCCCAAACCGACACUGGUGGUCAGGUAGAGAAUACCAAGGCGAUCGAGCGAAUCCUGGUCAAGGAACUCGGCAAAUCACUCCCGUGCCUUCGGUAUAAGGGAGACCCACUGGGGUGAAGGACCUUGCGUCCGGAGCUUUGGUGGGUGGCACAGACCAGGGGGUAGCGACUGUUUACCAAAAACACAGGUGCAUGCGAAGGCGAAAGCCGCUGUAUAUGCACUGACGCCUGCCCGGUGCCGGAAGGUUAAGAGGAUCCGUCAACUCUUCGGAGCGAAGCGGUGAAUUCAAGCCCCGGUAAACGGCGGUGGUAACUAUAACCAUCCUAAGGUAGCGAAAUUCCUUGUCGGGUAAGUUCCGACCUGCACGAAUGGCGUAA
This 2146-nucleotide ribosomal RNA is filed under the name human gut metagenome. RNAcentral's name for it is "bacterial LSU rRNA". It matches the Rfam family "Bacterial large subunit ribosomal RNA", at positions 1 to 2004 of the family's 2925-position model. The record is from RNAcentral.